This 253-nucleotide ribosomal RNA is filed under the name uncultured bacterium. RNAcentral describes it as "partial 16S ribosomal RNA". It matches the Rfam family "Bacterial small subunit ribosomal RNA", at positions 524 to 776 of the family's 1533-position model. The record is from RNAcentral.
UACGGACGGGGCGAGCGUUGUUCGGAAUCACUGGGCGUAAAGCGCGCGUAGGCGGCUUUGCAAGUGCGGCGUGAAAGUCCUGGGCUCAACCUGGGGACGGCGCUGCGGACUGCAUGGCUGGAGUCCGGAAGAGGGUGGUGGAAUUCCGAGUGUAGAGGUGAAAUUCGUAGAUAUUCGGAAGAACACCAGUGGCGAAGGCGACUCACUGGACAUGUAUUGACGCUGAGGUACGAAAGCGUGGGGAGCAAACAGG